Molecule: non-coding RNA, 601 nt
Filed under: Pan troglodytes (chimpanzee)
Lineage: Eukaryota; Metazoa; Chordata; Mammalia; Primates; Hominidae
Source: RNAcentral
AGGCGACUGCUCCCGCGAGGUCAGAGCCGGGCUGUGCCGCUGCCCCCGGGACUAGAAAGGGAAAUCUCCUUGCUAGAGGAGGAAGCCCUAAGAACUCAAGGGAGAUAGGGGUGGCAGGGGCAUUUCCCUGGAUGCCUGGAGCAUGGAGGGUGCGAAAUAAGGAGGCUUUCCUUCCCCAUUGAUGAGCUGAAGUUGAUUCCGCACGGGGAAGGAAAGGGACAGGAAGCAUAAUUGGAUGUGCAAGCCUGUGGUUCUUCAGGAAGUUAACACGUGGAACUAACACUGUUGGAUGCUGCUGAACUCUCAGGGGGCUUUCCGGAAGCACUAAGAAAUAGAACUAGUUUGUCUAAUUUGGAAUUAAAAGAGUAACCAACUGAGUGUCUUCAGCAGUGACAAUGAAAAUGUACCACUUCCCAUUUUGAUAAUUCAAAGAGCCUUAAGAAAGAUCGUUUUGCUUGAAAGCACCAUUUCACACUGACACUGGUCAUUCAUAGGCUUCAGAUAAGAAAAACUCCAGCAGUGUCCAGAUCAAGCCAUCCUGACUUUGUCUCUAGGCUGCUUAACCUCAAGUCACAGCCUGGUCUCUGCAGCAGAGCCAGGC